Molecule: long non-coding RNA, 437 nt
Organism: Brassica rapa (field mustard)
Lineage: Eukaryota; Viridiplantae; Streptophyta; Magnoliopsida; Brassicales; Brassicaceae
Source: RefSeq, a predicted model, not a curated record
GCACCUUUGUUGGGUGAUGCAUACGUUUGAUCUGUCUAGCUUCCUGGACUUCCUCAACCAGUUUCUCCACAUCCUGUCCCUGAGCUCUAGAAGCUUCAGAACUUCGCUCCUGUUCUUCAAAUGCCUCUCCAAGUUUAAGCACAACGGCUCUCGCACUUUCAAUCUCAGCACAAGCAAAUGAUUUUUCAUGGUUUACCAGCUUCUUUGCAUCUUCUGAUGCCUGACAUCAUGAGAGCAACACUUAAUAAGGGUCAUUAAUGAUACUCACAUUACCAAAGUAACCUAAAGAACUCCAUACCUGCUUGAGGAAGUUUCCAAGUUUCUUCACUUCAAACUUUUCUUGAAUCAGUUCACCUUCAUUCUGAGUUAACUUUACAGCUAGUGCUUCAACCUAUUCACAGUUUGAUCUUCAAUCUUUAGUUUCAGAAUCAUCAAUC